RNAcentral lists this ribosomal RNA (952 nucleotides) under Microbacterium foliorum. Its description in RNAcentral is "bacterial SSU rRNA". It matches the Rfam family "Bacterial small subunit ribosomal RNA", at positions 9 to 967 of the family's 1533-position model. The record is from RNAcentral. Lineage: Bacteria; Bacillati; Actinomycetota; Actinomycetes; Micrococcales; Microbacteriaceae.
GAGUUUGAACCUGGCUCAGGAUGAACGCUGGCGGCGUGCUUAACACAUGCAAGUCGAACGGUGAACACGGAGCUUGCUCUGUGGGAUCAGUGGCGAACGGGUGAGUAACACGUGAGCAACCUGCCCCUGACUCUGGGAUAAGCGCUGGAAACGGCGUCUAAUACUGGAUACGAGUAGCGGCCGCAUGGUCAGUUACUGGAAAGACUUUUUGGUUGGGGAUGGGCUCGCGGCCUAUCAGCUUGUUGGUGAGGUAAUGGCUCACCAAGGCGUCGACGGGUAGCCGGCCUGAGAGGGUGACCGGCCACACUGGGACUGAGACACGGCCCAGACUCCUACGGGAGGCAGCAGUGGGGAAUAUUGCACAAUGGGCGGAAGCCUGAUGCAGCAACGCCGCGUGAGGGAUGACGGCCUUCGGGUUGUAAACCUCUUUUAGCAGGGAAGAAGCGAAAGUGACGGUACCUGCAGAAAAAGCGCCGGCUAACUACGUGCCAGCAGCCGCGGUAAUACGUAGGGCGCAAGCGUUAUCCGGAAUUAUUGGGCGUAAAGAGCUCGUAGGCGGUUUGUCGCGUCUGCUGUGAAAUCCCGAGGCUCAACCUCGGGCCUGCAGUGGGUACGGGCAGACUAGAGUGCGGUAGGGGAGAUUGGAAUUCCUGGUGUAGCGGUGGAAUGCGCAGAUAUCAGGAGGAACACCGAUGGCGAAAGCAGAUCUCUGGGCCGUAACUGACGCUGAGGAGCGAAAGGGUGGGGAGCAAACAGGCUUAGAUACCCUGGUAGUCCACCCCGUAAACGUUGGGAACUAGUUGUGGGGUCCAUUCCACGGAUUCCGUGACGCAGCUAACGCAUUAAGUUCCCCGCCUGGGGAGUACGGCCGCAAGGCUAAAACUCAAAGGAAUUGACGGGGACCCGCACAAGCGGCGGAGCAUGGCGGAUUAAUUUCGAUGCAACGCGAGAA